ACUCCUGUCACAUCAGGUAAAAAUACAGUCAAAUUUAACAAAUGUAGGGAUAAUGACUAUCAUACUUUCUAGAUUAGUUUUUGCGAUUAAAUCUUAAGGGACAUUUGGUACGGGGUUAACAAAAGGUAAUUAUUAUUCUUGUAACUUUUAACUCCUUAUUAAUAUUGUUUAAAUACUUUAAGAGAAUAUAUUAACUUUUCACGUCAUUAAUAUUUAUAUUCUUUUAAGAGUUUAAAUGUUAAUCUUUGGGGGACUAGAUUAAUAGUUGCCCUCUUUAAAGUCAAAACUUACAAGGGUAACAUUUAACCCUUUAUUUUUAAAUCUUCUACCAAAUGCAUCAUUAGUUGAGUUGAGUACAAUCUCUGGGGAAUUCUAAGGUUGCAUUGUUUUCAACAAAUUAAAUCCAACUUUGUAAAUAACCAUAUCUGGAUAAAUUAGUAAUGGCUCACCUAAUGGUAAAAGCAACAUAGCAUAAAGAAAGUGUAUGAAAAACGGUCCACACAGUAAACACCCUAAAAAUAAUAUCACUGACUUCAUGUUUUAUUGAUAGUUUCUAACA
RNAcentral lists this unclassified non-coding RNA (559 nucleotides) under Hevea brasiliensis (rubber tree). Lineage: Eukaryota; Viridiplantae; Streptophyta; Magnoliopsida; Malpighiales; Euphorbiaceae. The record is from RNAcentral.